Molecule: ribosomal RNA, 253 nt
Filed under: uncultured bacterium
Lineage: Bacteria
Description: partial 16S ribosomal RNA
Rfam family: Bacterial small subunit ribosomal RNA
Source: RNAcentral
UACGUAGGGUGCAAGCGUUAAUCGGAAUUACUGGGCGUAAAGCGUGCGCAGGCGGUUAUGUAAGACAGGUGUGAAAUCCCCGGGCUUAACCUGGGAACUGCAUUUGUGACUGCAUAGCUAGAGUACGGCAGAGGGGGAUGGAAUUCCGCGUGUAGCAGUGAAAUGCGUAGAGAUCGGGAGGAACACCAGCGGCGAAGGCGGCGAACUGGAUAGGCACUGACACUCAACAACGAAAGCGUGGGGAGCAAACAGG